UGUCAGAACUGUUCUUCGUUUUUUAUGAAUUUGCUUGGCAAUGAAUGAUGCUCUGCUUUCCCGUCUACAGCUAUUAUUUUUAUUUAAUUAAAUGAUUAAAUUAAAUUAAUUAAAUACAUUUAACACAAUUGAUAGAGAUGGGUGGAUUAUUUUUUAUAUUUGAUGGUGCAGAAAAGGAUUUUCUGUUUCUGCCAAAGCAACUCAAGUCUAUUUUUCUUUAAUUGUGCUUCUAAAUGACAAAUAGCCCUAAAUUUUAUGAAUGCACAUAAUGAUGGUAAUAAAGAACAGCUUUUUUUUUUUUCCAGGUGUUUUGACAUCAUUGAAAAGCUCAGACACUUUCAGAAUUUGUAAAUAACUCAACAUGUCCAAGUCGACCUGGACAUUUUGUGGCCAGUCACAUUUACCAAACAGCACCACUCCUCUCAUUAGGAAGAACAAAGAAAACAACAAUACGUGAAUUAAUAAGCUAAUAUUGUUAUUUCAGGUUGCAUUAUAUAUUAAGUUGUUAUCGAGGGGCAAUUUUCAGUCAUGGAUCAUUUUAGGUGGUUUGUUAAAUGGGUCAACUGGUCCUCAGCCUGAAAAAGUUUGAGAAACACUGAUUUAGUUAAACACAAAAGCAAUUUAGAUUAUUUCAUAAAACAUACUUCAUAACCAGCAACCAGCUCUCCUUUGAUCUUUUUAACUUCAGUUGUCUCUGCAGCAGCAGCAACAUUGAACCCAUCAGGAAAAACAUCAACUGCAUCUCCUUUCCAUUCUCCAUGGCGAUGAUAUAGUAUGAUGAAGACGAAGCGCGCUGUGAACCAGGAACCUGUUUUGCAGUCAAACAUGAAGAUUUCCGUCUAAAAAGGUGAUAAAGCAGAAACGUAAUGAUGGCGACACAAACGAGACUGAAUGCAUGACUGCUUCUUUCCAAGAUGAAGUGAUUAACCAUCAAACAUGAUUCAAACAAAGGAUUUAUUUACAACCAGGAAGUAGUUUCCUUGGUAAUCUUGUUCCUGGAGCAAAUGACUGGAAGUACAGAGGAAAAUUUUCCCAAAAGUUUCCUACUUGAAACAAAUGUGAGAUCAAUGAGGAAAUACCCAAAUUAAAAAUAGUGAGGAAACUUCAAA
Xiphophorus hellerii (green swordtail) is the source of this 1109-nucleotide long non-coding RNA. RefSeq lists it as uncharacterized. Lineage: Eukaryota; Metazoa; Chordata; Actinopteri; Cyprinodontiformes; Poeciliidae. The record is from RefSeq and is a predicted model, not a curated record. The transcript has 2 exons.